GAUGAAGAACGUAGCGAAAUGCGAUACUUGGUGUGAAUUGCAGAAUCCCGUGAACCAUCGAGUCUUUGAACGCAAGUUGCGCCCGAAGCCAUCAGGUUGAGGGCACGUCUGCCUGGGCGUCACAUAUCGUUGCCCAAUGCCUAUUGCAGUGCAAUAGGAAUUUCUAGGGCGAAUGAUGGCUUCCCGUGAGCGUUGUUGCCUCGCGGUUGGUUGAAAAUCGAGUCCUUGGUAGGGUGUGCGAUGGUAGAUGGUGGUCGAGUUAGAACGAUACCGAUCAUGUGCAUGCUCCCCAAAAUAUGGCCUCUAUGACCCACACGCGUCUUUUGACGCUCAUGACGAGACCUCAGGUCAGGCGGGGCUACCCGCUGAAUUUAAGCAUAUCAAUAAGCGGAGGA
Molecule: unclassified non-coding RNA, 395 nt
Filed under: soil metagenome
Description: partial contains 5.8S ribosomal RNA, internal transcribed spacer 2, and large subunit ribosomal RNA
Rfam family: 5.8S ribosomal RNA (bases 1-122)
Source: RNAcentral